GUCUCUGUAGCUUAAUAACAAAGCCCUGGUCUUGUAAACCAAAGACGGGAACUAAGUACCCCUGAGACA
RNAcentral lists this transfer RNA (69 nucleotides) under Sceloporus woodi. RNAcentral describes it as "tRNA-Thr". It matches the Rfam family "tRNA". Rfam says of the family: Transfer RNA (tRNA) molecules are approximately 80 nucleotides in length. Their secondary structure includes four short double-helical elements and three loops (D, anti-codon, and T loops). The record is from RNAcentral. Lineage: Eukaryota; Metazoa; Chordata; Lepidosauria; Squamata; Phrynosomatidae.